This 365-nucleotide long non-coding RNA is filed under the name Equus asinus (donkey). RNAcentral's name for it is "lncRNA (ENSEASG00005023980.1)". Lineage: Eukaryota; Metazoa; Chordata; Mammalia; Perissodactyla; Equidae. The record is from RNAcentral.
GUCAGUGCCAGAGUAAAGGAAAGAAAAAGAAGAAAGGAUUUCCUGUUUAGUUAAAGUAUGAAGUCUUGAGCUGGCAUCUUGGGUGAAAGCAGUCUAUCUUAACGUCAGCGGCUUCUCUUCCUGGUCAAUGUGGUGUGGAGGUCUCCAGCAUUUGCGUAGGACCAGAUGUCAGGUGGAACCUUCCUCAGCUGUGAGAUGUGUACCCAGGGUUCAGUGCCUUCUAGUUUCAUAGCAGUGUCAGUGUCAGGAGCACUUGCCUUUUGUAAUGAAUUUUUCAAUGAAGCUAAUUUGGAACUUGGAAGCCUUUUGGAGGCAGAAGCCAGUGAAAACAGAAACCAACAGCAACCAAGGAGAUGAGACUGUGG